This 254-nucleotide ribosomal RNA is filed under the name uncultured bacterium. RNAcentral describes it as "partial 16S ribosomal RNA". It matches the Rfam family "Bacterial small subunit ribosomal RNA", at positions 524 to 776 of the family's 1533-position model. The record is from RNAcentral.
CACGUAGGGGGCGAGCGUUGUCCGGAUUUAUUGGGCGUAAAGAGCUCGUAGGCGGCUUAGUAAGUCAGGUGUGAAACCUCCAGGCUCAACCUGGAGACGCCACCUGAUACUGCUGUGGCUAGAGUCCGGUAGGGGAGCAGGGAACUCCUGGUGUAGCGGUGAAAUGCGCAGAUAUCAGGAAGAACACCAGCGGCGAAGGCGCUGCUCUGGGCCGGAACUGACGCUGAGGAGCGAAAGCGUUGGGAGCAAACAGG